Molecule: transfer RNA, 72 nt
Filed under: Camelus bactrianus (Bactrian camel)
Lineage: Eukaryota; Metazoa; Chordata; Mammalia; Artiodactyla; Camelidae
Also listed under: 2 other names
Rfam family: tRNA
About the family: Transfer RNA (tRNA) molecules are approximately 80 nucleotides in length.
Source: Rfam by way of RNAcentral
GAGGGUAUAGCUCAGUGGUGGAGUGUGUGCUUAGCAUGCAUGAGGUCCUGGGUUCAAUCCCGAGUACCUCCA